CUCGAUCCCCAUAAAUAAAGCAACAUUUCUAUUCAUUACUAUUUCAAACAGUUUUAAAAUGACCUAACCUACACCUGCCACAUCUCUAUGGAGUCAAAGGUCACAACUUUCUUCAACAUCUGUUUUUGUUGCAGCCUCACUUUUAGGUUUUGUUCUAACCCCCAGUUUCUAUCACUCCAGAACAUUGGGAGGGGACACGGCCUCCACCCUCACAGACCACAGUGGUAUUACGUAUUAGGACAUUUUUCUCACAUACUGUACUUUUACUUAUUCAUGGCAGUAACAGAUGGUAAUAAUCUAGUGACAUUAGUAAAUGUUGUUGGUUUGGUUCUAACCUCCUACUUCUAUCACUCCAGAACAUCAGGAGGAGACACGGCCAUGAUGGUUUCACCCAAACAACAGGAACUAGACAACAACAACAGCCUAUAGAACAUCAGGAGGAGACACGGCCAUGAUGGUUUCUCAGACUUCACCUGAAGAACAGGAACUUCUCAAGAACACCCUGAAGGAGGAGACGUGGCCAUGAUGGUUUCCAGGACUUCACGUGAAGAGGAGGAUCUUCGCGCUACAGAAACCACGGGGAGGACACGGCCCCCCCCGCGCUUGCUACCACAGGACCCACUCCGAUGAUCCAGGCCCCCGACAACGGGUGGGAUUCGAACCAAUCUCCUGCGACUUCCAGCCGCGGUUGAACCACCACACGCCACCGAGAACCCUUCACACUUGGACCUUCUCUCUGAGCGCUUUUGUCAUCGUCACUUUGGAAUCUGGACUUUAAAAGUCUCGACUGUCAUAAGAUUUGAACCCAUGACUUAAAAAGUUUCAACCACUCA
Mugil cephalus (flathead mullet) is the source of this 833-nucleotide long non-coding RNA. RefSeq lists it as uncharacterized. Lineage: Eukaryota; Metazoa; Chordata; Actinopteri; Mugiliformes; Mugilidae. The record is from RefSeq and is a predicted model, not a curated record. The transcript has 4 exons.